RNAcentral lists this ribosomal RNA (608 nucleotides) under uncultured bacterium. Its description in RNAcentral is "bacterial SSU rRNA". It matches the Rfam family "Bacterial small subunit ribosomal RNA", at positions 369 to 975 of the family's 1533-position model. The record is from RNAcentral.
GAAGGGGAAACCUGAUCAGCCAUGCCGCGUGCAGGAUGAAGGCCUUCGGGUUGUAAACUGCUUUUGUACGGAACGAAAGGUUCUGCCCUAAUACGGUGGAAAUAUGACGGUACCGUAAGAAUAAGCACCGGCUAACUACGUGCCAGCAGCCGCGGUAAUACGUAGGGUGCAAGCGUUAAUCGGAAUUACUGGGCGUAAAGCGUGCGCAGGCGGUUAUAUAAGACAGAUGUGAAAUCCCCGGGCUCAACCUGGGAACUGCAUUUGUGAUUGUAUAGCUGGAGUACGGCAGAGGGGGAUGGAAUUCCGCGUGUAGCAGUGAAAUGCGUAGAUAUGUGGAGGAAUACCAAUGGCGAAGGCAGCCCCCUGGGAUAACACUGACGCUCAUGCACGAAAGCGUGGGGAGCAAACAGGAUUAGAUACCCUGGUAGUCCACGCCCUAAACGAUGCUGACUAGUUGUUCGGGAUUCUAUCCUGAGUAACGUAGCUAACGCGUGAAGUCAGCCGCCUGGGGAGUACGGUCGCAAGAUUAAAACUCAAAGGAAUUGACGGGGACCCGCACAAGCGGUGGAUGAUGUGGAUUAAUUCGAUGCAACGCGAAAAACUUAACU